RNAcentral lists this small RNA (671 nucleotides) under Vigna angularis var. angularis. Its description in RNAcentral is "Non-protein coding transcript". The record is from RNAcentral. Lineage: Eukaryota; Viridiplantae; Streptophyta; Magnoliopsida; Fabales; Fabaceae.
AUAUACAUACACAUACUUUAAUCUCUUGCUGUUUCGAGCGUUAUUGUGAGAAGAGAGUAGUGUUCUGUUUGGUUUCCUGAACAAAAGAACCUAACACAUACACUGUUUCUGCUCAUAGUAACACAGCAAGCUUGUUGCACAAUUAUAACAGCCAACUCAUGGCUCAGUAAGCUCUGACCCAACAAAGCAGCACGCUUGUGAUCCAGCAUUCAACACACAAACGUUAUUCUGCAAAACCAGCAUUUCAUUGCAAACUAGAUAGUGGCAAUGAACCCAGAAAAAAAUUCAAAUAUUGUUUCACUAAUCUGCUAUGUUAUCAAUGCUAUCAGCAAACUGUUAUAUCACUUAUGCAUUCUAUUCUUUAAACCGCUCAGUCAUUGCUUAAAUUAUUUGCAUGAUUCUGUUAGGUCGAUUGUCUUUAUAUUUACAUGUUUUUAAAUUUUGUGAACUUGGGAUUUAACUAGAAGUUUAGUUCAUCAAAUGACUUCACAUAAUAUUUACAAAGGGACGUUUCAGUUGUGGAUUUCACUUUUCCAUCACUAUUCUGAAAUAAAUAUUUAUCUGCAUUCCCGUACUCAUACAUAGCCGAUUUGAAAGUUUUGUCUUAUUCCAAUUUUUAAUCAAAUAUCAGGUAUACUCAAACAGGCUCCUAUUCCAAAUAUUUAUUAAAU